AACCACUCUGCUACCCAAUUUUUCUUCGCUUCGACUUCAACUCAAAACUCAUGACAGCAGGCGAUUGCUGUCAGUUUUUGUACUUCUUAGAUGGGCACUUGAAAAUACAAAUUGAAGAGUAUGAAACAUUUGGAGUUCCCAUAUCAUAUCAAAAAUAUGUUGAAUCAGAUUCAGGUGAUAUCCCACUCAAAUCUGUGAAAGGGCAACUACAUUCGCCAGCUCUAUGCUAGCAAUCAUCAAUAUCAGCUUUAUGCUAGCAAUCAUCAACUACAUUUCCACUUUGUUACUGUUUUAUGGAACGGUUGGCUUGAGAGAAAUAGGAAAGCUUUUAAAGGGGUCGAGAACCUUUAGGAAGAAGAGUGUUCCACAAUGAAGCUCAAUAACUUCUCUAGGGAGUCGGUAACCCUAAGUUUUGUGAUUGUCCUUCGCUUUUUUUCUAAACAAUUAUAGCCAUUUGUUGUCUCGUUCGUUGUUUUGUAGUUAGUCUCUAUAUGGAUCAUUUCUAUUCUUUCAUUGGUUCAACGAAAGCUCAUCAAA
This is a long non-coding RNA of Cucumis melo (muskmelon), 537 nucleotides long. RefSeq lists it as uncharacterized. The transcript has 2 exons. NCBI's taxonomy places the organism in Eukaryota, Viridiplantae, Streptophyta, Magnoliopsida, Cucurbitales, Cucurbitaceae. The record is from RefSeq and is a predicted model, not a curated record.